RNAcentral lists this ribosomal RNA (253 nucleotides) under uncultured bacterium. RNAcentral describes it as "partial 16S ribosomal RNA". It matches the Rfam family "Bacterial small subunit ribosomal RNA", at positions 524 to 776 of the family's 1533-position model. The record is from RNAcentral.
UACGUAGGGGGCUAGCGUUGUCCGGAAUCAUUGGGCGUAAGGCGCGUGUAGGCGGUCCGGUAAGUCUGCUGUGAAAGUCGGGGGCUCAACCCUCGGAUGCCGGUGGAUACUGUCGGGCUUGAGUACGGAAGAGGCGAGUGGAAUUCCUGGUGUAGCGGUGAAAUGCGCAGAUAUCAGGAGGAACACCAAUUGCGAAGGCAGCUCGCUGGGACGUUACUGACGCUGAGACGCGAAAGCGUGGGGAGCAAACAGG